This 443-nucleotide ribosomal RNA is filed under the name uncultured bacterium. RNAcentral's name for it is "bacterial SSU rRNA". It matches the Rfam family "Bacterial small subunit ribosomal RNA", at positions 954 to 1380 of the family's 1533-position model. The record is from RNAcentral.
AUGGGAACGCGAAGAACCUUACCUAGACUUGACAUCUCCUGAAUAGUGUAGAGAUACAUGAAGCCCUUCGGGGCAGGAAGACAGGUGGUGCAUGGUUGUCGUCAGCUCGUGUCGUGAGAUGUUGGGUUAAGUCCCGCAACGAGCGCAACCCCUACUUAUUAGUUGUCUAACAAUUAAGUUAGUAGCACUCUAGUGAGACUGCCCGGGUUAACCCGGGUACGGAAGGUGGGGAGUGACGUCAAAUACAUCAUGCCCCUUACUGUCUAGGGCGUACACACGUGCUACAAUGGUGGGAACGAAAGAGAUGCAAUACCGCAAGGUGGAGCUAAACUACAAAACCCCAACUCCCACGUUCGGAUUGUAGGCUGAAACUACGCCUACAUGAAGCUGGAGUUGCUAGUAAUCGCGAAUACAGAGUGUCGCGGUGAAUACGUUCCCGGGUC